UAAUGUUUCAAGUUUUUUUUUUUUUUUUUUUUAAUUCUAUUUUAGUAGCAACUGGAUUUCGUUAGUUGGUUGCCUUGUUGGUAAAAGAAAAUAUUGAUACGAAUCAAAACUAGAUUAAAUGCUAAACAAACCAGAUUAAGCAAAAUCUGUUUUUUUUUUUUUGUUUUUUUUUGUUUCGAACGAAAUUCGAAGUCAGACAUGGUGAGAGAUUUCUGGUGUUCUUCAUCUAUCUAUGGAUAAGCUUUAUGCUACAAAGGGAUUAAAUUAAGUUUGGCGAAAGAAGACAUGUGUAAAUGUUAUGUCAGUGUAGAGGGGAAGUUUCUGCAGAAUCUUAGACGUUAUUUGAUGCUGCUCCUGUUCUAUCUUGUUCAUGGAGGCUGGUCUUGACACUGUCAUAUGAGAAAUUAGUAUUCUAAAAAUGUGUUUUAAUAACAACGAAACUGGUGAUGAAGUUGAAACUGAGAGGCAAGUGUUUGGAUUUCGAGUUGAAGAUACAACUGGAAAUGCCAACAAUUUUAUACAGAUUUCUCAACAACAACCACCACCGCUAGCUCCUGUUGUGAAGUGGGAGAGGUAUCUCCCAGUUAGAUCUCUUAAGGUUCUUCUAGUGGAGAAUGAUGACUCAACACGCCAUAUUGUUACUGCCCUUUUGAAGAAUUGCAGCUAUGAAGUCACUGCUGCUUCUGAUGUCCUUGAAGCCUGGAGAAUCCUAGAAGAUGAGAAGAGUUGCAUUGAUCUCGUCUUAACAGAGGUUGUCAUGCCUGUGCAAUCUGGAACUGGCCUGUUGUCCAAGAUUAUGAGCCAUAAGACGCUAAAGAACAUCCCUGUCAUAAUGAUGUCAUCUUAUGACUCUAUGGUUUUGGUCUUUAAGUGUUUGUCGAAUGGUGCUGUUGAUUUUCUCGUGAAACCCAUUAGAAAGAACGAACUAAAGAAUCUUUGGCAACAUGUCUGGAGAAGAUGUCACAGUUCUAGCGGAAGCGGAAGUGAGAGUGCAAUACAGAACAAGAAGCCAGUGAAAACUGAAAGCUCUGAAGGGUCAGAAAACGAUGCCAGCAUCGAUGAUGAAGAUCAGGGGAAUGAAAAUGGGAGUAAUGGUUUGAGUGACCAAGAUGGUGGGAGUGAUAACGGGAGUGGAACUCAGAGUUCUUGGACCAAUAGAGCCGGUAAGAGCACCUCGCCUUCAUAUCAAUUUCCCAAUGCUACCAAUAUGAACCUGAGAACCUAUGGCAACGGAUGGGAUAAUGCUAAUAAACUGAAGGAGAUUGGAGAUCAGAAUGAACAGAUAGUAGGCAUGGGAUCGCAGGAAGGAAUGUUUAUAGGUAACAAAGUUGAAGAACAAGGAAACCAUGAAAAGGAUGCAAACUAUUCUGUUCAAGCUUUGGAAAGAAACAAUGAUGACAUGCUAAAUCGCUCUUCUGGUAACUCAGAAGUAGAAAGUAAAACACCUUCAUCUAACCCGGAAGAUUUGCAAUCACUCGAGCUAACUCUGAAAAAACCAAGAGAGGCUGGAGAUUACAGAACCGGUGAUCAGAGUGUUUUGAGGCAUUCAAAUCACUCUGCAUUCUCAAAGUACAAUAACGGUGCUACUUCUGCUAGUAAGGCUCUACAAGAAAAUGGGGGAAGUUGUUCUCCUCAUGACAGUCCUAUUGCAAAACUGAUGGGUUCGGGUUCAAGCAGUGAUGAUCCUUUGAAUCAGCAGUCCAGUGGAAGCGAACGAUCGGCACAAAGAGAAGCUGCUCUGAUGAAGUUUUGCCUUAAACGCAAAGAGCGAUGCUUUGAGAAAAAAGGUUAGGUACCACAGCAGGAAGAAACUAGCUGAGCAACGGCCUCGAGUCAAAGGUCAAUUCAUUCGCAAGAGGGAUGAUACUAAAUCAGGAAAUGAGUGUCCAAGUAGUGACGACAGCUAAACAACGAAAUUGGUAUAAAAGAGAGAGAGAUAGAGAAAUACACUUCGAAGAUCUUAAGACUGAAGAACAAAAAAAAAGUUUCACAAAGUGGCGCAUUAGCAUAUUUUGUUUCUCAUUACUAUUGCAAUGAGACUUUCCUUUUGUAUUAAUUAAGAUCGUUUAAAUAUCGUAUUCCUGCAAACAUAACAAUGUUGCUAUAGUAUUUGUUUUCCAAAAACAAUCAUUUACUCAUUAA
RNA transcript from Camelina sativa (false flax), 2142 nucleotides. It is a transcript of the gene named two-component response regulator-like APRR3, with no coding region annotated. NCBI's taxonomy places the organism in Eukaryota, Viridiplantae, Streptophyta, Magnoliopsida, Brassicales, Brassicaceae. The record is from RefSeq and is a predicted model, not a curated record.